UCAAUCAUGCCCCUUAUCGUUCUGGGCUACACACGUGCUACAAUGGCCGGUACAGACGGACGCAAAGCCGCGAGGUGGAGCAAAUCCUAAAAAGCCGGUCUCAGUUCGGAUUGCAGGCUGCAAUUCACCUGCAUGAAGUCGGAAUCGCUAGUAAUCGCAGGUCAGCAUACUGCGGUGAAUACGUUCCCGGGCCUU
RNAcentral lists this ribosomal RNA (195 nucleotides) under uncultured Bacillus sp. RNAcentral's name for it is "partial 16S ribosomal RNA". It matches the Rfam family "Bacterial small subunit ribosomal RNA", at positions 1189 to 1382 of the family's 1533-position model. Lineage: Bacteria; Bacillati; Bacillota; Bacilli; Caryophanales; Bacillaceae. The record is from RNAcentral.